RNAcentral lists this ribosomal RNA (2902 nucleotides) under Klebsiella pneumoniae. RNAcentral's name for it is "23S ribosomal RNA". It matches the Rfam family "Bacterial large subunit ribosomal RNA". Lineage: Bacteria; Pseudomonadati; Pseudomonadota; Gammaproteobacteria; Enterobacterales; Enterobacteriaceae. The record is from RNAcentral.
GGUUAAGCGACUAAGCGUACACGGUGGAUGCCCUGGCAGUCAGAGGCGAUGAAGGACGUGCUAAUCUGCGAAAAGCGUCGGUAAGGUGAUAUGAACCGUUAUAACCGGCGAUGUCCGAAUGGGGAAACCCAGUGCAAUUCGUUGCACUAUCGUUAACUGAAUACAUAGGUUAACGAGGCGAACCGGGGGAACUGAAACAUCUAAGUACCCCGAGGAAAAGAAAUCAACCGAGAUUCCCCCAGUAGCGGCGAGCGAACGGGGAGCAGCCCAGAGUCUGAAUCAGCUUGUGUGUUAGUGGAACGGUCUGGAAAGUCCGACGGUACAGGGUGAUAGUCCCGUACACCAAAAUGCACAGGCUGUGAACUCGAAGAGUAGGGCGGGACACGUGGUAUCCUGUCUGAAUAUGGGGGGACCAUCCUCCAAGGCUAAAUACUCCUGACUGACCGAUAGUGAACCAGUACCGUGAGGGAAAGGCGAAAAGAACCCCGGCGAGGGGAGUGAAAAAGAACCUGAAACCGUGUACGUACAAGCAGUGGGAGCACCUUCGGGUGUGACUGCGUACCUUUUGUAUAAUGGGUCAGCGACUUAUAUUCUGUAGCAAGGUUAACCGUAUAGGGGAGCCGCAGGGAAACCGAGUCUUAACUGGGCGUUAAGUUGCAGGGUAUAGACCCGAAACCCGGUGAUCUAGCCAUGGGCAGGUUGAAGGUUGGGUAACACUAACUGGAGGACCGAACCGACUAAUGUUGAAAAAUUAGCGGAUGACUUGUGGCUGGGGGUGAAAGGCCAAUCAAACCGGGAGAUAGCUGGUUCUCCCCGAAAGCUAUUUAGGUAGCGCCUCGUGAACUCAUCUUCGGGGGUAGAGCACUGUUUCGGCUAGGGGGUCAUCCCGACUUACCAACCCGAUGCAAACUACGAAUACCGAAGAAUGUUAUCACGGGAGACACACGGCGGGUGCUAACGUCCGUCGUGAAGAGGGAAACAACCCAGACCGCCAGCUAAGGUCCCAAAGUCAUGGUUAAGUGGGAAACGAUGUGGGAAGGCACAGACAGCCAGGAUGUUGGCUUAGAAGCAGCCAUCAUUUAAAGAAAGCGUAAUAGCUCACUGGUCGAGUCGGCCUGCGCGGAAGAUGUAACGGGGCUAAACCAUGCACCGAAGCUGCGGCAGCGACACUAUGUGUUGUUGGGUAGGGGAGCGUUCUGUAAGCCUGCGAAGGUGACCUGUGAGGGUUGCUGGAGGUAUCAGAAGUGCGAAUGCUGACAUAAGUAACGAUAAAGCGGGUGAAAAGCCCGCUCGCCGGAAGACCAAGGGUUCCUGUCCAACGUUAAUCGGGGCAGGGUGAGUCGACCCCUAAGGCGAGGCCGAAAGGCGUAGUCGAUGGGAAACAGGUUAAUAUUCCUGUACUUGGUGUUACUGCGAAGGGGGGACGGAGAAGGCUAUGUUAGCCGGGCGACGGUUGUCCCGGUUUAAGCAUGUAGGCUGGUUGUCCAGGCAAAUCCGGAUAAUCAAGGCUGAGGUGUGAUGACGAGGCACUACGGUGCUGAAGUAACAAAUGCCCUGCUUCCAGGAAAAGCCUCUAAGCAUCAGGUAACAUCAAAUCGUACCCCAAACCGACACAGGUGGUCAGGUAGAGAAUACCAAGGCGCUUGAGAGAACUCGGGUGAAGGAACUAGGCAAAAUGGUGCCGUAACUUCGGGAGAAGGCACGCUGGUGUGUAGGUGAAGUCCCUGCGGAUGGAGCUGAGACCAGUCGAAGAUACCAGCUGGCUGCAACUGUUUAUUAAAAACACAGCACUGUGCAAACACGAAAGUGGACGUAUACGGUGUGACGCCUGCCCGGUGCCGGAAGGUUAAUUGAUGGGGUUAUCCGUAAGGAGAAGCUCUUGAUCGAAGCCCCGGUAAACGGCGGCCGUAACUAUAACGGUCCUAAGGUAGCGAAAUUCCUUGUCGGGUAAGUUCCGACCUGCACGAAUGGCGUAAUGAUGGCCAGGCUGUCUCCACCCGAGACUCAGUGAAAUUGAACUCGCUGUGAAGAUGCAGUGUACCCGCGGCAAGACGGAAAGACCCCGUGAACCUUUACUAUAGCUUGACACUGAACAUUGAGCCUUGAUGUGUAGGAUAGGUGGGAGGCUUUGAAGCGUGGACGCCAGUCUGCGUGGAGCCAACCUUGAAAUACCACCCUUUAAUGUUUGAUGUUCUAACGUUGGCCCCUUAUCGGGGUUGCGGACAGUGUCUGGUGGGUAGUUUGACUGGGGCGGUCUCCUCCCAAAGCGUAACGGAGGAGCACGAAGGUUAGCUAAUCCUGGUCGGACAUCAGGAGGUUAGUGCAAUGGCAUAAGCUAGCUUGACUGCGAGCGUGACGGCGCGAGCAGGUGCGAAAGCAGGUCAUAGUGAUCCGGUGGUUCUGAAUGGAAGGGCCAUCGCUCAACGGAUAAAAGGUACUCCGGGGAUAACAGGCUGAUACCGCCCAAGAGUUCAUAUCGACGGCGGUGUUUGGCACCUCGAUGUCGGCUCAUCACAUCCUGGGGCUGAAGUAGGUCCCAAGGGUAUGGCUGUUCGCCAUUUAAAGUGGUACGCGAGCUGGGUUUAGAACGUCGUGAGACAGUUCGGUCCCUAUCUGCCGUGGGCGCUGGAGAAUUGAGGGGGGCUGCUCCUAGUACGAGAGGACCGGAGUGGACGCAUCACUGGUGUUCGGGUUGUCAUGCCAAUGGCACUGCCCGGUAGCUAAAUGCGGAAGAGAUAAGUGCUGAAAGCAUCUAAGCACGAAACUUGCCCCGAGAUGAGUUCUCCCUGAGACUUUAAGUCUCCUGAAGGAACGUUAAAGACGAUGACGUUGAUAGGCCGGGUGUGUAAGCGCAGCGAUGCGUUGAGCUAACCGGUACUAAUGAACCGUGAGGCUUAACCUU